Molecule: non-coding RNA, 75 nt
Organism: Myotis davidii
Lineage: Eukaryota; Metazoa; Chordata; Mammalia; Chiroptera; Vespertilionidae
Source: Rfam
GGCAGUUCUCGGGUGACACACGGUGAAGUCGGGCUCCCUCCUCUCUGGUUCCAGGUGCGUCACCCGAGAACCACA